This 253-nucleotide ribosomal RNA is filed under the name uncultured bacterium. Its description in RNAcentral is "partial 16S ribosomal RNA". It matches the Rfam family "Bacterial small subunit ribosomal RNA", at positions 524 to 776 of the family's 1533-position model. The record is from RNAcentral.
UACGGAGGGUGCGAGCGUUGUCCGGAAUCACUGGGCGUAAAGGGCGCGUAGGCGGCCUGAUAAGUAGGGGGUGAAAUCCUGCGGCUUAACCGCAGGGCUGCCUUCUAAACUGUCGGGCUAGAGCACGGUAGAGGCAGAUGGAAUUCCCGGUGUAGCGGUGGAAUGCGUAGAGAUCGGGAAGAACAUCAGUGACGAAGGCGGUCUGCUGGGCCGUUGCUGACGCUGAGGCGCGACAGCGUGGGGAGCAAACAGG